This is a long non-coding RNA of Sorghum bicolor (sorghum), 492 nucleotides long. RefSeq lists it as uncharacterized. NCBI's taxonomy places the organism in Eukaryota, Viridiplantae, Streptophyta, Magnoliopsida, Poales, Poaceae. The transcript has 2 exons. The record is from RefSeq and is a predicted model, not a curated record.
GAUACUAUGUAUGUGCUUUCAUCAGUAACACAAAAGGCUACAGGAGACACCCUGAAUUGUGGAAAGAAGAAAAAGGACUAAAAAGGGAUGUCUACAGGGAUGAUGACCUCUUAGAGAUUGUUGGUGACCUUUGCAACUUUAUAAUGGACCAUGUUGUUUAUUACAAAGGUGAUUACCAUAACCCACAGUCCGACUUAGGUAGCAAUCCUCUUUACCAGCACCUCCGUCAGUGGAUAGGCUAUGUCUAGGUCGUUGAUUACAUGUGAACUUGUUGGAAUGGACUGUGAUCGAUUUGUAUUAGUACCUGAAAAAUUUCGGACUCUUUUGGAUGGAUUUGGACAUGGAAACAUUUUGGACUUGAAAUGUGGUGCUGUGUAUAUGUAUGGAUAUUUAUGUUGUGAAUCUGUGAUGUUGAGAAUCUGAUUAUAUAUGUAUAUAUGUAUGUGGUGUUGUGCUGUGCUGUCAACUCGAUUAUUGUAAUUUUUAUUUUUU